AGGGGCGUAGUUCAUCGGUAGAAUAAGAGUCUCCAAAACUCCAGAGGUGGGUUCGAUUCCUACCGCCCCUGCUA
RNAcentral lists this transfer RNA (74 nucleotides) under Eubacterium sp. RNAcentral describes it as "tRNA-Trp". It matches the Rfam family "tRNA". From Rfam's summary of the family: Transfer RNA (tRNA) molecules are approximately 80 nucleotides in length. Their secondary structure includes four short double-helical elements and three loops (D, anti-codon, and T loops). Lineage: Bacteria; Bacillati; Bacillota; Clostridia; Eubacteriales; Eubacteriaceae. The record is from RNAcentral.